UGAGUAACCUGCCCUUAACUCUGGGAUAAGCCUGGGAAAUUGGGUCUAAUACCGGAUAUGACUCCUCAUCGCAUGGUGGGGGGUGGAAAGCUUUUUGUGGUUUUGGAUGGACUCGCGGCCUAUCAGCUAGUUGGUGAGGUAAUGGCUCACCAAGGCGACGAUCGGUAGCCGAACUGAGAGGUUGAUCGGCCACAUUGGGACUGAGACACGGCCCAGACUCCUACGGGAGCAG
This 232-nucleotide ribosomal RNA is filed under the name uncultured bacterium. Its description in RNAcentral is "partial 16S ribosomal RNA". It matches the Rfam family "Bacterial small subunit ribosomal RNA", at positions 118 to 347 of the family's 1533-position model. The record is from RNAcentral.